GGCGACAUAGCUCAGUUGGGAGAGCAGCAGACUGAAGUGAUUCCUUGUCAUCUGAAGGUCCCGUGUUCAAGCCACGGUGUUGCCA
This is a non-coding RNA of Mycena floridula, 85 nucleotides long. The record is from the annotation of a GenBank genome assembly. Lineage: Eukaryota; Fungi; Basidiomycota; Agaricomycetes; Agaricales; Mycenaceae.